CUACGGGACGCUGCAGUGAGGAAUAUUGCACAAUGGGGGAAACCCUGAUGCAGCAACGCCGCGUGGAGGAUGACGCAUUUCGGUGUGUAAACUCCUUUUAUAUAGAAAGAAAAUGACGGUACUAUAUGAAUAAGCACCGGCUAACUCCGUGCCAGCAGCCGCGGUAAUACGGAGGGUGCAAGCGUUACUCGGAAUCACUGGGCGUAAAGGACGCGUAGGCUGUUUAGCAAGUCAGAUGUGAAAUCCUAUGGCUUAACCAUAGAACUGCAUUUGAAACUGCUAGACUAGAGUAUGGGAGGGGGAGAUGGAAUUAGUGGUGUAGGGGUAAAAUCCGUAGAUAUCACUAGGAACACCCAAAGCGAAGGCGAUCUCCUGGAACAUUACUGACGCUAAGGCGUGAAAGCGUGGGGAGCAAACAGGAUUAGAUACCCCGGUAGUC
Molecule: ribosomal RNA, 439 nt
Filed under: uncultured bacterium
Lineage: Bacteria
Description: partial 16S ribosomal RNA
Rfam family: Bacterial small subunit ribosomal RNA
Source: RNAcentral